RNAcentral lists this ribosomal RNA (253 nucleotides) under uncultured bacterium. Its description in RNAcentral is "partial 16S ribosomal RNA". It matches the Rfam family "Bacterial small subunit ribosomal RNA", at positions 524 to 776 of the family's 1533-position model. The record is from RNAcentral.
UACGGAGGAUGCAAGCGUUAUCCGGAAUUAUUGGGCGUAAAGCGUCCGCAGGUGGCACCUCAAGUCUGCUGUCAAAGACCGGGGCUUAACUUCGGAAAGGCAGUGGAAACUGAACAGCUAGAGUAUGGUAGGGGCAGAGGGAAUUCCUGGUGUAGCGGUGAAAUGCGUAGAGAUCGGCAGGAACACCCAAGGGGAAGCCAGCUGACUGGCCCGGUACUGACACUCAGGGACGACAGCGUGGGGAGCGAACCGG